Non-coding RNA from Ictidomys tridecemlineatus (thirteen-lined ground squirrel), 73 nucleotides. Lineage: Eukaryota; Metazoa; Chordata; Mammalia; Rodentia; Sciuridae. The record is from Rfam.
GGGGAUAUGGCUCAGUUGGUAGAGUGCUUACCUCACAUGCGUAAGACCCUGGGUUUGAUCCCCAGCACCACCA